This 468-nucleotide ribosomal RNA is filed under the name uncultured bacterium. RNAcentral's name for it is "partial 16S ribosomal RNA". It matches the Rfam family "Bacterial small subunit ribosomal RNA", at positions 28 to 507 of the family's 1533-position model. The record is from RNAcentral.
GACGAACGCUGGCGGCGUGCUUAACACAUGCAAGUCGAACGGAAAGGCCCUGCUUUUGUGGGGUGCUCGAGUGGCGAACGGGUGAGUAACACGUGAGUAACCUGCCCUUGACUUUGGGAUAACUUCAGGAAACUGGGGCUAAUACCGGAUAGGAGCUCCUGCUGCAUGGUGGGGGUUGGAAAGUUUCGGCGGUUGGGGAUGGACUCGCGGCUUAUCAGCUUGUUGGUGGGGUAGUGGCUUACCAAGGCUUUGACGGGUAGCCGGCCUGAGAGGGUGACCGGCCUCCUGGGGCCUGAGAUAGGCCGCAGCCUCCAAGGGGAGGCAGCGGGGGGAAGUUUGACACAGCGGGGGGGCGCGUGUGGCGAAAGCCCCGGGUGCGGAAGGCGGUCUUACGGGUUGAAAACCAUUUUCGCCGGAACCAAGGCGGGAGUGACGGUAAUGGAUAAGAAAGCCCCGGCUAACUACGUG